This 240-nucleotide unclassified non-coding RNA is filed under the name soil metagenome. RNAcentral describes it as "partial contains 5.8S ribosomal RNA, internal transcribed spacer 2, and large subunit ribosomal RNA". The record is from RNAcentral.
AACUGAUACUACCUGCGGGAACCUGCGGAAGGAUCAUUAUUGAAUAAACUUGGUUGGGCUGUUGCUGGCUCCUUGGAGCAUGUGCACGCCUAGCACCAAUUUUUACCACCUGUGCACCUUUGUGGACCUGGAUACCUCUCGAGGAAACUCGGUUGGAGGACUGCUGUGCGAAAGCCAGCUUUCCUUACAUUUCCGGUUCAUGUUUUCACAUACCCCAUACGAAUGUAACAGAAUGUCGUU